RNAcentral lists this non-coding RNA (106 nucleotides) under Yersinia aleksiciae. RNAcentral describes it as "Yersinia sRNA 224". It matches the Rfam family "Yersinia sRNA 224". The record is from RNAcentral. Lineage: Bacteria; Pseudomonadati; Pseudomonadota; Gammaproteobacteria; Enterobacterales; Yersiniaceae.
AGGUUAAUAACACAGUGCCAGCGGCGGUGAGAAUAAGCAGACCGUAAAUACGCCGUAAAUCCAUCCCUAGAGGCUCGAGCCGCGCCAUCCCUAGCGCGGACGCUUU